Molecule: ribosomal RNA, 498 nt
Filed under: uncultured bacterium
Lineage: Bacteria
Description: partial 16S ribosomal RNA
Rfam family: Bacterial small subunit ribosomal RNA
Source: RNAcentral
AUUGAACGCUGGCGGCAUGCCUUACACAUGCAAGUCGAACGGCAGCACGGGGCAACCUGGUGGCGAGUGGCGAACGGGUGAGUAAUGCAUCGGAACGUACCUUUCAGUGGGGGAUAACGUAGCGAAAGUUACGCUAAUACCGCAUAUUCUGUGAGCAGGAAAGCAGGGGAUCGCAAGACCUUGUCACGAUUGAGCGGCCGAUGUCAGAUUAGCUAGUUGGUGAGGUAAAGGCUCACCAAGGCGACGAUCUUGAGCGGGUCUGAGAGGAUGAUCCGCCACAAUGGAACUGAGACACGGUCCAGACUCCUACGGGAGGCAGCAGUGGGGAAUUUUGGACAAUGGGGGCAACCCUGAUCCAGCCAUGCCGCGUGAGUGAAGAAGGCCUUCGGGUUGUAAAGCUCUUUCGGCCGGGAAGAAAUCGCACGGGCUAAUACCCUGUGUGGAUGACGGUACCGGAAUAAGAGGCACCGGCUAACUACGUGCCAGCCGCCGCCGUAA